GAGGACAUGAAUAGUCGCCAGGCUUGGCGGCUCUUGCUCUCCCAAGGCAGAGGGGAUCGUUGGGUUUCAAGGCCCCGCGGGCAUUUCUCGCCGGCCCUGCGGAGAGAGUUCUUCACUACCACAACCAAGGAGGGAUAUGAUAGGCGGCCAGUGGAUAUAACUCCUCUAGAACAAAGGAAAUUAACUUUUGAUACCCAUGCAUUGGUUCAGGACUUGGAAACUCACGGAUUUGACAAAUCACAAGCAGAAACAAUUGUGUCAGCGUUAACUACUUUAUCAAAUGUCAGCCUGGAUACUAUCUAUAAAGAGAUGGUCACUCAAGCUCAACAGGAAAUAACAGUACAACAGCUAAUGGCUCAUUUGGAUUCUAUCAGGAAAGACAUGGUCAUCCUAGAGAAAAGUGAAUUCGCAAAUCUGAGAGCAGAAAAUGAGGUGAUACAAAUUUUAAUUUAUUACUUAUAAAAUAACUGAUCUCAUAAUAAGCAUCCUACUUAAUGAAUAAGUUAAUAAGACCAAGUAAUAAUUCCAUGUGGUUAGUAAACUAUAAGUUUUUAGAUUUAAAAACAUACUAUUUGUUUAACCAUACCUAAUCUUUUUCUAUAUAAAUCAUAGUGCUUUGCAUACUGAA
Molecule: small RNA, 628 nt
Filed under: Pongo abelii (Sumatran orangutan)
Lineage: Eukaryota; Metazoa; Chordata; Mammalia; Primates; Hominidae
Description: retained intron
Source: RNAcentral